RNAcentral lists this ribosomal RNA (253 nucleotides) under uncultured bacterium. RNAcentral describes it as "partial 16S ribosomal RNA". It matches the Rfam family "Bacterial small subunit ribosomal RNA", at positions 524 to 776 of the family's 1533-position model. The record is from RNAcentral.
UACGGGGGGGGCAAGCGUUGUUCGGAAUUACUGGGCGUAAAGGGCUCGUAGGUGGCCAACUAAGUCAGACGUGAAAUCCCUCGGCUUAACCGGGGAACUGCAUCUGAUACUGGAUGGCUUGAGUUUGGGAGAGGGAUGCGGAAUUCCAGGUGUAGCGGUGAAAUGCGUAGAUAUCUGGAGGAACACCGGUGGCGAAGGCGGCAUCCUGGACCAACACUGACGCUGAGGAGCGAAAGCCAGGGGAGCAAACGGG